GACGAACGCUGGCGGCGUGCUUAACACAUGCAAGUCGAGCGGUAAGGCCCUUUCGGGGGUACACGAGCGGCGAACGGGUGAGUAACACGUGGGUGACCUGCCCUCAGCUCUGGGAUAAGCCUGGGAAACCGGGUCUAAUACCGGAUAUGACUCCAUGACGCAUGUUGUGGGGUGAAAGCCUUGUGCGGCUGAGGAUGGGCCCGCGGCCUAUCAGCUUGUUGGUGGGGUGAUGGCCUACCAAGGCGACGACGGGUAGCCGGCCUGAGAGGGCGACCGGCCACACUGGGACUGAGACACGGCCCAGACUCCUACGGGAGGCAGCAGUGGGGAAUCUGCGCAAUGGGCGAAAGCCUGACGCAGCGACGCCGCGUGAGGGAUGACGGCCUGG
RNAcentral lists this ribosomal RNA (388 nucleotides) under uncultured bacterium. RNAcentral's name for it is "bacterial SSU rRNA". It matches the Rfam family "Bacterial small subunit ribosomal RNA", at positions 28 to 419 of the family's 1533-position model. The record is from RNAcentral.